This 465-nucleotide ribosomal RNA is filed under the name Vreelandella stevensii. RNAcentral's name for it is "partial 16S ribosomal RNA". It matches the Rfam family "Bacterial small subunit ribosomal RNA", at positions 338 to 795 of the family's 1533-position model. Lineage: Bacteria; Pseudomonadati; Pseudomonadota; Gammaproteobacteria; Oceanospirillales; Halomonadaceae. The record is from RNAcentral.
CCUACGGGCGGCUGCAGUGGGGAAUAUUGGACAAUGGGGGGAACCCUGAUCCAGCCAUGCCGCGUGUGUGAAGAAGGCCCUCGGGUUGUAAAGCACUUUCAGUGAGGAAGAACGCCUGGUGGUGAAUACCCAUCAGGAAAGACAUCACUCACAGAAGAAGCACCGGCUAACUCCGUGCCAGCAGCCGCGGUAAUACGGAGGGUGCGAGCGUUAAUCGGAAUUACUGGGCGUAAAGCGCGCGUAGGUGGCUUGAUAAGCCGGUUGUGAAAGCCCCGGGCUCAACCUGGGAACGGCAUCCGGAACUGUCAAGCUAGAGUGCAGGAGAGGAAGGUAGAAUUCGCGGUGUAGCGGUGAAAUGCGUAGAGAUCGGGAGGAAUACCAGUGGCGAAGGCGGCCUUCUGGACUGACACUGACACUGAGGUGCGAAAGCGUGGGUAGCAAACAGGAUUAGAUACCCGGGUAGUC